RNAcentral lists this ribosomal RNA (489 nucleotides) under uncultured bacterium. RNAcentral's name for it is "bacterial SSU rRNA". It matches the Rfam family "Bacterial small subunit ribosomal RNA", at positions 341 to 847 of the family's 1533-position model. The record is from RNAcentral.
ACGGGAGGCAGCAGUGGGGAAUAUUGCACAAUGGGGGAAACCUGAUGCAGCAACGCCGCGUGAAGGAAGACGGUUUUCGGAUUGUAAACUUCUGUUCUUAGUGAAGAAUAAUGACGGUAGCUAAGGAGCAAGCCACGGCUAACUACGUGCCAGCAGCCGCGGUAAUACGUAGGUGGCAAGCGUUGUCCGGAAUUACUGGGUGUAAAGGGAGCGUAGGCGGGAUGCCAAGUCAGCUGUGAAAACUAUGGGCUUAACCUGUAGACUGCAGUUGAAACUGGUAUUCUUGAGUGAAGUAGAGGUUGGCGGAAUUCCGAGUGUAGCGGUGAAAUGCGUAGAUAUUCGGAGGAACACCGGUGGCGAAGGCGGCCAACUGGGCUUUAACUGACGCUGAGGCUCGAAAGUGUGGGGAGCAAACAGGAUUAGAUACCCUGGUAGUCCACACUGUAAACGAUGAUAACUAGGUGUGGGGGGUCUGACCCCUUCCGUGCC